RNAcentral lists this ribosomal RNA (468 nucleotides) under uncultured bacterium. RNAcentral describes it as "partial 16S ribosomal RNA". It matches the Rfam family "Bacterial small subunit ribosomal RNA", at positions 28 to 507 of the family's 1533-position model. The record is from RNAcentral.
GACGAACGCUGGCGGCGUGCUUAACACAUGCAAGUCGAACGGAAAGGCCCUGCUUUUGUGGGGUGCUCGAGUGGCGAACGGGUGAGUAACACGUGAGUAACCUGCCCUUGACUUUGGGAUAACUUCAUGAAACUGGGGCUAAUACCGGAUAGGAGCUCCUGCUGCAUGGUGGGGGUUGGAAAGUUUCGGCGGUUGGGGAUGGACUCGCGGCUUAUCAGCUUGUUGGUGGGGUAGUGGCUUACCAAGGCUUUGACGGGUAGCCGGCCUGAGAGGGUGACCGGCCACAUUGGGACUGAGAUACGGCCCAGACUCCUACGGGAGGCAGCAGUGGGGAAUAUUGCACAAUGGGCGGAAGCCUGAUGCAGAAACGCCGCGUGCGGGAUGACGGCCUUCGGGUUGUAAACCGCUUUCGCCUGUGACGAAGCGUGAGUGACGGUAAUGGGUAAAGAAGCACCGGCUAACUACGUG